GACGAACGCUGGCGGCGUGCUUAACACAUGCAAGUCGAACGGUAAGGCCCUUCGGGGUACACGAGUGGCGAACGGGUGAGUAACACGUGGGUGAUCUGCCCUGCACUUCGGGAUAAGCCUGGGAAACCGGGUCUAAUACCGGAUAGGACCACUGCCUGCAUGGGUGGUGGUGGGAAGCUUUUGCGGUGUGGGAUGGGCCCGCGGCCUAUCAGCUUGUUGGUGGGGUGAUGGCCUACCAAGGCGACGACGGGUAGCCGGCCUGAGAGGGUGACCGGCCACACUGGGACUGAGAUACGGCCCAGACUCCUACGGGAGGCAGCAGUGGGGAAUAUUGCACAAUGGGCGCAAGCCUGAUGCAGCGACGCCGCGUGAGGGAUGACGGCCUUCGGGUUGUAAACCUCUUUCAGCACCGACGAAGCGCAAGUGACGGUAGGUGCAGAAGAAGGACCGGCCAACUACGUGCCAGCCGCCGCAGUAA
This 478-nucleotide ribosomal RNA is filed under the name uncultured bacterium. RNAcentral describes it as "partial 16S ribosomal RNA". It matches the Rfam family "Bacterial small subunit ribosomal RNA", at positions 28 to 523 of the family's 1533-position model. The record is from RNAcentral.